UAAAGWGUCUUGUUGUGCGGUGAUUGUGUUGUACAACUUCUUACAUCACUCCAGCAGACCUGGAUCUGACGGUGUGGCCUCGAGCAACAGUGGUGGUCUAACCAUGUUUGAGUGAGCAGAUCAACAGACCAUUGCGAAGCCGCUGUCUGAGGGRGACUGACAGCUUUUGUACCACCUUCCAGCCUGCUUUGUGUCUGAACAAGUUCCCCGGGCAGAAAAUGAUGUCGAGCUCCACGAAGAGGAGGCUGAUUCAUGAAUAUUGUAAAUCGUGAUGAAGCGAGAAAUGUCCUUACACAUAAUUCCUGAAAAUUUUCUUUAAAGARGAACACAAUAAACAAGCAGGUUGUCUCGGUUUGUGUCACUUCACCCCUUUCUCCACCUCUUUUUAUUUUAGCAAAUGAAAGCAAUACUGUUUAUAAGAAAUUAGAAAGACACUGAAGACGCACUUUACAAACAAGGAAAUUGCUUGCUGUGUUCCUGUUAUUGUUGAGGGCGAAAGAGGCUUGUGUAUUUGUCUCUCCCACAUUCACCACGUGCUGUACUUUGUGACGGCUUUUCCUGUUUUCAAUAAUAUUCGAUAUUUUGCUCUAACCAGUUUGUUGUGUCAAACCACAGGCACGCCAAAUCACAUAAACAAAGUCUGUGUCAAUAAUAGAAUCUAAUUGACGUUUGCCCCAAAAUCAAAGAAUAACAAACACAUUUGGUUUAAAAAAAAUGCAGUCAAAACUAUGUAACUUUGGUUUUAAAUGACAAAUAUUUUUCAAACUCUGACAGACUUCUUUCUGAUUUUA
This is a long non-coding RNA of Austrofundulus limnaeus, 791 nucleotides long. RefSeq lists it as uncharacterized. The record is from RefSeq and is a predicted model, not a curated record. NCBI's taxonomy places the organism in Eukaryota, Metazoa, Chordata, Actinopteri, Cyprinodontiformes, Rivulidae. The transcript is spliced from 3 exons.